UCAUACAAGAAGCCCGAAUCAAUAGCCAUUCGGCGUAAAGAGUGGUCACAUAUUAUCUACGCCAACUAAGAUCGAAAUGCAACUGAGCUGUCAUAAGCCCAAGAUGCAUCUAAGUCCAACCUGAACACCAUCUUAGCCACCAUGACCAAUUUAAACCCACGAAAGCCAGGGCACAAACUGGGAUUAGAUACCCCACUAUGCCGGGCCCUAAAUCUAGAUACCCAAGCAUCUACUUACGUAUCCGCCUGAGAACUACGAGCACAAACGCUUAAAACUCUAAGGACUUGGCGGUGCCCCAAACCCACCUAGAGGAGCCUGUUCUGUAACCGAUAAUCCACGAUCCACCCAACCAUCCCUCGCCGACACAGCCUACAUACCGCCGUCGCCAGCCCACCUCCAAUGAAAGAACAACAGUGGGCCCAAUAGUCUACGCUAACAAGACAGGUCAAGGUAUAGCCCAUGGGAUGGAAGCAAUGGGCUACAUUUUCUAAAAUAGAACAAACGAAAAAGGGCAUGAAACCGGCCCUUAGAAGGAGGAUUUAGCAGUAAAGCAGGAUCAUCUUAGGCCUACUUUAAGACGGCCCUGAGGCACGUACAUACCGCCCGUCACCCUCUUCAAGAGCCACCAACCCCAAAUAAAUAACCCACCCACCCCAGGCUAAAGACGAGGUAAGUCGUAACAA
RNAcentral lists this ribosomal RNA (683 nucleotides) under Pternistis swainsonii (Swainson's spurfowl). RNAcentral's name for it is "Francolinus swainsonii (Swainson's spurfowl) partial 12S ribosomal RNA". It matches the Rfam family "Bacterial small subunit ribosomal RNA", at positions 521 to 1494 of the family's 1533-position model. Lineage: Eukaryota; Metazoa; Chordata; Aves; Galliformes; Phasianidae. The record is from RNAcentral.